RNAcentral lists this ribosomal RNA (253 nucleotides) under uncultured bacterium. Its description in RNAcentral is "partial 16S ribosomal RNA". It matches the Rfam family "Bacterial small subunit ribosomal RNA", at positions 524 to 776 of the family's 1533-position model. The record is from RNAcentral.
UACGUAGGGACCAAGCGUUGUCCGGAAUCAUUGGGCGUAAAGCGCGCGUAGGUGGCUUCGUAAGUCCGUUGUGAAAGUCAAAGGCUCAACCUUUGAAAGCCGAUGGAUACUGCGGAGCUAGAGUACGGAAGAGGCGAGUGGAAUUCCUGGUGUAGCGGUGAAAUGCGCAGAUAUCGGGAAGAACACCCGUGGCGAAGGCGGCUCUCUGGGACGGUACUGACGCUGAGACGCGAAAGCGUGGGGAGCGAACAGG